Molecule: ribosomal RNA, 524 nt
Filed under: Sinella wui
Lineage: Eukaryota; Metazoa; Arthropoda; Collembola; Entomobryomorpha; Entomobryidae
Description: partial 16S ribosomal RNA
Rfam family: Bacterial large subunit ribosomal RNA
Source: RNAcentral
UCGAAUGUUUUAUCAAAAACAUUUUUUUUAGUUAAGAUAAAAAAUAUAACCUGCCCACUGAAUUUUAAAGGGCCGCGGUAUUAUGACCGUGCUAAGGUAGCAUAAUCAUUAGUCUCUUAAUUAGGGAAUUGUAUGAAUGGUUGAACCUAUAAAAACUUUAUUUUUUAAGAAAAUUAAAUUUUUAUAUCAGAUGAAAAUUUUUGAAGGGAGCAAAGGGACGAUAAGACCCUAUAGAGCUUUAUGCUGGCAGUAUUUUAAUGAAUAGAGGUAAUUUAAAUUUUCUGUACUGUGUUUAAUUGGGGCAAUAGAAGAAUAAUAAGAACUUCUUAAAAAAUAGAAUAACUAAAAAUUUUAAAUUUAAAAAGUUACCUUAGGGAUAACAGCGUUAUAUUUCUUAAGAGUUCUAAUCGACAGAAAUGUUUGCGACCUCGAUGUUGAAUUAAAAUUUCUUUGUAGGGCAGAAUUUAUAAAAGAUAGUCUGUUCGACUAUAAAAUUUUUACAUGAUUUGAGUUCAAACCGGCGA